GUGGGGAAUAUUGGACAAUGGGCGAAAGCCUGAUCCAGCCAUGCCGCGUGAGUGAAGAAGGCCCUAGGGUUGUAAAGCUCUUUCACCGGUGAAGAUAAUGACUGUAGCCGGAGAAGAAGCCCCGGCUAACUUCGUGCCAGCAGCCGCGGUAAUACGAAGGGGGCUAGCGUUGUUCGGAAUUACUGGGCGUAAAGCGCGCGUAGGCGGAUACUUAAGUCAGUGGUGAAAUCCCGAGGCUCAACCUCGGAACUGCCUUUGAUACUGGGUAUCUUGAGUUCGAGAGAGGUAAGUGGAAUUCCGAGUGUAGAGGUGAAAUUCGUAGAUAUUCGGAGGAACACCAGAGGCGAAGGCGGCUUACUGGCUCGAUACUGACGCUGAGGCGCGAAAGCGUGGGGAGCAAACAGG
RNAcentral lists this ribosomal RNA (405 nucleotides) under uncultured bacterium. Its description in RNAcentral is "bacterial SSU rRNA". It matches the Rfam family "Bacterial small subunit ribosomal RNA", at positions 354 to 776 of the family's 1533-position model. The record is from RNAcentral.